Long non-coding RNA from Gallus gallus (chicken), 581 nucleotides. The record is from Ensembl. Lineage: Eukaryota; Metazoa; Chordata; Aves; Galliformes; Phasianidae.
GUGGCAAGACCCAGAAAUACUGGGCAACAGCAUGCAUAUAUCAAUGCAUGCAGAUACAUGUGCUACACUUAACUAUUUCUUUACAUUCUGUCACAUGUCAUCUCAGAGACAAAAGCUUUGCUGAGACACAUCAGAGCUGGCAAUAGAGUGGGCAAGACUUCUGUUCUGUAUCAAAGAGAGACUUUUUCACUGAUUCUCAAAGAAAAAAAACAAAGCACAUUUAUGUACAGCAGAAGUUGAAAAUUCACUGCCCUUACACACAAGCAAGCAUCUUCAUUCCCUCAACGCAACGCACACAUGUGUGUGCAUGCCCAGACAUGCACUGUGCUCAUCCGUGGUUGUGCACAGUGACUUUCUGCAGCUGGGGACUCACCUCACAAAGGAAUAGAGAAGAAGCACACAUGUAUGGACAAGAUACAGAUAAAGUAUAGCUAUCUAAGAAAGAUGAGUGCCAUGACCUUUGGAGCAUUUCCUUGGAGAUCCUUGAAAUCUGGCUCAUGGAAGUACUGACAGAAGUUGUUUCCUCUAAAUGAAACCCAAAGUGGAAGCCUCUUCAAGUGUGCAUAUCAGGAAUCUUCUCA